RNAcentral lists this ribosomal RNA (496 nucleotides) under uncultured bacterium. RNAcentral's name for it is "partial 16S ribosomal RNA". It matches the Rfam family "Bacterial small subunit ribosomal RNA", at positions 28 to 506 of the family's 1533-position model. The record is from RNAcentral.
GAUGAACGCUGGCGGCGUGCCUAAUACAUGCAAGUCGAGCGAACGGACGAGAAGCUUGCUUCUCUGAUGUUAGCGGCGGACGGGUGAGUAACACGUGGAUAACCUACCUAUAAGACUGGGAUAACUUCGGGAAACCGGAGCUAAUACCGGAUAAUAUUUUGAACCGCAUGGUUCAAAAGUGAAAGACGGUCUUGCUGUCACUUAUAGAUGGAUCCGCGCUGCAUUAGCUAGUUGGUAAGGUAACGGCUUACCAAGGCAACGAUGCAUAGCCGACCUGAGAGGGGAAUCGGCCACCCUGGAACUGAGACACGGUCCAGACUCCUACGGGAGGCAGCAGUAGGGAAUCUUCCGCAAUGGGCGAAAGCCUGACGGAGCAACGCCGCGUGAGUGAUGAAGGUCUUCGGAUCGUAAAACUCUGUUAUUAGGGAAGAACAUAUGUGUAAGUAACUGUGCACAUCUUGACGGUACCUAAUCAGAAAGCCACGGCUAACUACGU